RNAcentral lists this unclassified non-coding RNA (404 nucleotides) under Hevea brasiliensis (rubber tree). The record is from RNAcentral. Lineage: Eukaryota; Viridiplantae; Streptophyta; Magnoliopsida; Malpighiales; Euphorbiaceae.
AGCCCGUGGAAAUGAAAGUUUACAUUAUGCUUAAAAUGGAGUUUCUCCGAUGAAAGAAACUCAAUCACUCCAAAUAGAAAAUUGUGAAAAUAGGAAUCACCAUUAUACCAUUUAUUCAAUUGUCCAGAGCGCUAGUAAAACUUGGAAAAGUUCAACCAUUUUCUUGUAGAAAGUCUCAAUUGAAAUGGUGAAAUCCAUGUAUACAAUAGGAUGAGAAGACGAUAAUGAAGAUACACACAAUUAAAGAAUUCAUAAUAGGGUAUCAUUAUUCUGGGAUUUUUUUUUUCCUCUCGUAUUACAAAUUGAGUUAUUGCCUAAUUUGCUUUACUGCAAUACAAUGAACAAAAGGAUUAUUUUUCUAUCAAACACGAAUGUAUUUGUAGCAUGGGCUAAGCUGCCAAUUG